This is a long non-coding RNA of Lutra lutra (Eurasian river otter), 1497 nucleotides long. RefSeq lists it as uncharacterized. The record is from RefSeq and is a predicted model, not a curated record. NCBI's taxonomy places the organism in Eukaryota, Metazoa, Chordata, Mammalia, Carnivora, Mustelidae. The transcript is spliced from 3 exons.
UUGGUUCACCUGCGGAGGCGGGCUCUUGACGGACAGAGGAAUUGUCCAAUAGCCGAUGAGGACAAGGGGGCGAGCAGGGCAGGAGGGACCAAAUCCGGUUCCUCCCCACCCAUCCCCACCAGUCUCCUGGGCUCUGAAUGCUGAGUGGGCUGAGCGCCCGGCUGGAACCCCACCACUUUACCUCCCACACUCUGCACACCCCAAACCGAGAAGCCUCUUCAGUUUCUUACUCUUGUUAAUAAUACCUCACGGCUUCCUCUCCAUUGCUUUGCCGACCGGUCCAGACCCCUCUCCCAGGCGCCACAGACUUAUAUUCAACCACUUGUACACCUCCUUCGCGGGGGCGGUAGGUACGCCUUCCUGCCAAGCCUGCGCUUGCUCUCCUGCCCUAACCUACAGUAAUGGGCCCACUGUCUUCCCAGUGGAAGCCUAAACCAGAAGCCUGGGAGUCUUUUUUUAUUUUAAAGUUUUAUUUAUUUUUAUUAGAGAGAGAGAGAGGUAGCGGGAGAGGGGAGGAACAGAAUCCUAAGCAGACUCCCGUUGAACGCGGAAACCUAACUGGGACUGGAUCUCAGGACCCUGAGAGCAUGAUCUGAGCCCAAACCCAGACUCGAAGGCUUAACUGACUGAACCACCUGGGUGCCCCUGGAAGUCUUGAGUCUUUACUCUCCCUCUUUCCACCCCCUCUCCUGUCAGUUAUCUAAUCCCGUUCGCUUUAUCUCCCAAGUAUCUCUCCAAUCCAGACAUUUGUCUCCAGCGACUUCAGGGCCCUAUUCCAAUCCUCUCAUCUGGCUCUCUACCUUCCACUUAACAAUUUAGCAGCUUUUCUUCCAUAGAAUAUGCAGUGACACUUCUAAAACUUAAAUUCCUGCUCUACAGUCUUCAUUGGUUCCCUAGGGACCAUUGGGCCUUCAAAAGACAAUUACAUUGGUCUGGUCACUGACAGUUACCCGGAAUGGUUAGCAGUUGGUAGGUUGAGAAAGGCUGAGAACCAAGAUACCAGAUAAUCCCUCAGUCCCUCGCCUUGUGGGAUUCCGGUUAUCCCAUUUGCUUACUAAUGGCUUUACUCAAACUCUUCUACUAACUGUCAUAAAGCAAGUGCAAUCCUUUCCUGGAGGAAAGAAAACUAGGAGAUGACCAGAGAGGCCACUUAGAGAGCCCUGAGAAUGUGGUCUUCGGGAAGGAAGACAUGCCGGCUUACCUAGAGAGCCUGGCCAGCCCACCUGGACCCAAGGACGUGUGUGCCAUCAGACAGCUCCUGUCAGACUUACUUCUGGUAUGACAUACUGCCACUCACCCUUGGCCCUUUCCGGAAGUUUUAUCUUGUCAUGAAAGGCAAAGACAGAUGGAGGAACUGUCCAGAGAAAAGGACACUAAGGGGACUGGACAACCGAAUGGAGUACAUGAUCUGGGAGUUUUUGUCAUUGCUGUUACAAAAGACAUCAUUAAGACAAUUGGCAAAAUAUAAAUAAGAGAUCACAAGUAGGCAGAGAGAGG